UUGGAUUUUCACAAGAAAAAUUUUGUACUUUCUCUUGAGAGAGAGAAUAGUACAUGUUUUUCCUCAAACAAACGAUCACAACUAAAUAGCUGUGUGAAGCAAAAAGGAGAAUUGGGAGAAUUGGAAAAGUGUUUGCCUGAUAAUCAAGUGAUUUGGAUUGGAGAAAGAAAUA
This 172-nucleotide unclassified non-coding RNA is filed under the name soil metagenome. Its description in RNAcentral is "partial internal transcribed spacer 1". The record is from RNAcentral.